UCACCUGUUUUUCAAAAACAUGUCUUAAAGAAUUUAAUUUUAAGUCAAAUCUGCUCAAUGAUAAAAUUUAAUAGCUGCAGUAUCUAUAACUGUACUAAGGUAGCAUAAUAAUUAGUUUUUUAAUUGAAAACUAGAAUGAAUGAUUUAAUGAAAAAUAAACUGUCUCAAAAUUAUUUAAUAAAUUUAUUCUUUAAGUAAAAAAAUUUAAAUUUAUAUUAAAGACGAGAAGACCCUAAAGAAUUUUUAUAUUUUUUUAUUAUUAAUUUAUUUUAUAAUAAAUAAAUUUAAUAUUUUAAUUGGGGAAAUUUUAAAAUUUAUUUAAUUUUUAAUUAAAUUCAAACAUUUAUUUUUGAAUAAAUUAAUUUUUUUUAAAAAUAUAAAUUUAAAUUACCUUAGGGAUAACAGCAUAAUUUUUUUUUAAAGUUCAAAUUUAUAAAAAAGUUUAUGACCUCG
RNAcentral lists this ribosomal RNA (453 nucleotides) under Dolichogenidea sp. 2 SY-2020. RNAcentral's name for it is "partial large subunit ribosomal RNA". The stretch from base 1 to 166 matches the Rfam family "Bacterial large subunit ribosomal RNA", at positions 1796 to 2022 of the family's 2925-position model. Lineage: Eukaryota; Metazoa; Arthropoda; Insecta; Hymenoptera; Braconidae. The record is from RNAcentral.